RNAcentral lists this ribosomal RNA (253 nucleotides) under uncultured bacterium. RNAcentral's name for it is "partial 16S ribosomal RNA". It matches the Rfam family "Bacterial small subunit ribosomal RNA", at positions 524 to 776 of the family's 1533-position model. The record is from RNAcentral.
UACGUAGGGGGCAAGCGUUGUCCGGAUUCAUUGGGCGUAAAGAGCGUGUAGGCGGCCAGGUAGGUCGGUUGUGAAAACUGGAGGCUCAACCUCGGGCCUGCAGUGGGUACGGGCAGACUGGAGUGCGGUAGGGGAGAAUGGAAUUCCUGGUGUAGCGGUGGAAUGCGCAGAUAUCAGGAGGAACACCGAUGGCGAAGGCAGUUCUCUGGGCCGUAACUGACGCUGAGGAGCGAAAGCGUGGGGAGCGAACAGG